GCGCCCGCGGUCUAGUGGUUAGCGCUCUCGCUUUUGAAUCUGUCGACACGGGUUCGAUCCCCCUUGGGGUCA
Molecule: non-coding RNA, 72 nt
Organism: Caenorhabditis brenneri
Lineage: Eukaryota; Metazoa; Nematoda; Chromadorea; Rhabditida; Rhabditidae
Source: the annotation of a GenBank genome assembly